GUCAUGCAGUCGAGCGGACAGAUGGGAGCUUGCUCCCUGAUGUUAGCGGCGGACGGGUGAGUAACACGUGGGUAACCUGCCUGUAAGACUGGGAUAACUCCGGGAAACCGGGGCUAAUACCGGAUGGUUGUCUGAACCGCAUGGUUCAGACAUAAAAGGUGGCUUCGGCUACCACUUACAGAUGGACCCGCGGCGCAUUAGCUAGUUGGUGAGGUAACGGCUCACCAAGGCGACGAUGCGUAGCCGACCUGAGAGGGUGAUCGGCCACACUGGGACUGAGACACGGCCCAGACUCCUACGGGAGGCAGCAGUAGGGAAUCUUCCGCAAUGGACGAAAGUCUGACGGAGCAACGCCGCGUGAGUGAUGAAGGUUUUCGGAUCGUAAAGCUCUGUUGUUAGGGAAGAACAAGUGCCGUUCAAAUAGGGCGGCACCUUGACGGUACCUAACCAGAAAGCCACGGCUAACUACGUGCCAGCAGCCGCGGUAAUACGUAGGUGGCAAGCGUUGUCCGGAAUUAUUGGGCGUAAAGGGCUCGCAGGCGGUUUCUUAAGUCUGAUGUGAAAGCCCCCGGCUCAACCGGGGAGGGUCAUUGGAAACUGGGGAACUUGAGUGCAGAAGAGGAGAGUGGAAUUCCACGUGUAGCGGUGAAAUGCGUAGAGAUGUGGAGGAACACCAGUGGCGAAGGCGACUCUCUGGUC
RNAcentral lists this ribosomal RNA (699 nucleotides) under Bacillus sp. (in: firmicutes). RNAcentral describes it as "bacterial SSU rRNA". It matches the Rfam family "Bacterial small subunit ribosomal RNA", at positions 52 to 734 of the family's 1533-position model. The record is from RNAcentral. Lineage: Bacteria; Bacillati; Bacillota; Bacilli; Caryophanales; Bacillaceae.